RNAcentral lists this unclassified non-coding RNA (217 nucleotides) under Hevea brasiliensis (rubber tree). Lineage: Eukaryota; Viridiplantae; Streptophyta; Magnoliopsida; Malpighiales; Euphorbiaceae. The record is from RNAcentral.
GACCAGUAACCACCACGCAAAGUGAAAUCAGUAUCUGCCACGUUUUAUCGAGGAAGCAAAACGACAUGUCGUUUGCACAAAGAAUCGCAUUUCUAACAGUAGUAGAUAUUAUAUCGAAAGAUAGGAUAUUUCCAUCAACCUCUUCGAGGCCCAAAAAGCGCCUAAUAAAAGGUCCAACAAAUACAGUCCAAAUAUAAGGCUUAAAGCACAAACAAAA